UUGCAAAAGCAGAUAUCUACUGAUUGCUUGCAAUCAGAGGAAAGUCUGGACAUCACGAGAACAGCCUAGAAGAUAACGACUUCGGUCUUGUAAUAUAUUUGAAAUACAAGAAACGGCCAGUGCCACAGAGACUAUACUAUUCCUUCGGGAAGAAAGGUGAAAAGUCACUUUCAGAGUGAUCCCCUGUCGCAAGGCAGGUGUGGUGGUAAACCCUAGGUGAUGCAAUGGGAAUGGUUCUAUGAUGAGUUAGUGUUCUCUAUCGCUCAGAAAUAGAAUACCCAGCUUGAAUUAUACAGUGAUGUAUAAUCUAGAUAGAUUGAUAUCGAGAUACAGAAUCCGGCUUAUUACUUUUGCACUUUA
Molecule: RNase P RNA, 360 nt
Filed under: Candidatus Altimarinota bacterium
Lineage: Bacteria; Candidatus Altimarinota
Description: RNase P RNA component class A
Rfam family: Bacterial RNase P class A
About the family: Ribonuclease P (RNase P) is a ubiquitous endoribonuclease, found in archaea, bacteria and eukarya as well as chloroplasts and mitochondria. Its best characterised activity is the generation of mature 5'-ends of tRNAs by cleaving the 5'-leader elements of precursor-tRNAs.
Source: RNAcentral